UUCCACACCCCGGGCGGGCCUUUUUUUUUUGGGGGUUUUUUCCACUCAGGACGAACGCUGGCGGCGUGCCUAAUACAUGCAAGUCGAGCGGACAGAUGGGAGCUUGCUCCCUGAAGUCAGCGGCGGACGGGUGAGUAACACGUGGGCAACCUGCCUGUAAGACUGGGAUAACUCCGGGAAACCGGGGCUAAUACCGGAUAAUUCUUUCCCUCACAUGAGGGAAAGCUGAAAGAUGGUUUCGGCUAUCACUUACAGAUGGGCCCGCGGCGCAUUAGCUAGUUGGUGAGGUAACGGCUCACCAAGGCAACGAUGCGUAGCCGACCUGAGAGGGUGAUCGGCCACACUGGGACUGAGACACGGCCCAGACUCCUACGGGAGGCAGCAGUAGGGAAUCUUCCGCAAUGGACGAAAGUCUGACGGAGCAACGCCGCGUGAGUGAUGAAGGUUUUCGGAUCGUAAAACUCUGUUGUUAGGGAAGAACAAGUACCGGAGUAACUGCCGGUACCUUGACGGUACCUAACCAGAAAGCCACGGCUAACUACGUGCCAGCAGCCGCGGUAAUACGUAGGUGGCAAGCGUUGUCCGGAAUUAUUGGGCGUAAAGCGCGCGCAGGCGGUUCCUUAAGUCUGAUGUGAAAGCCCCCGGCUCAACCGGGGAGGGUCAUUGGAAACUGGGGAACUUGAGUGCAGAAGAGAAGAGUGGAAUUCCACGUGUAGCGGUGAAAUGCGUAGAGAUGUGGAGGAACACCAGUGGCGAAGGCGACUCUUUGGUCUGUAACUGACGCUGAUGCGCGAAAGAGCGCC
Molecule: ribosomal RNA, 803 nt
Filed under: Cytobacillus firmus
Lineage: Bacteria; Bacillati; Bacillota; Bacilli; Caryophanales; Bacillaceae
Description: bacterial SSU rRNA
Rfam family: Bacterial small subunit ribosomal RNA
Source: RNAcentral